This 481-nucleotide ribosomal RNA is filed under the name uncultured bacterium. Its description in RNAcentral is "bacterial SSU rRNA". It matches the Rfam family "Bacterial small subunit ribosomal RNA", at positions 15 to 518 of the family's 1533-position model. The record is from RNAcentral.
GAUCAUGGCUCAGGACGAACGCUGGCGGCGUGCUUAACACAUGCAAGUUGAACGGUAUGACAUGGAAGCUUGCUGAAGUGUCAUAUAGUAGCGGACGGGUGAGUAAUGCAUGAGAAGCUGCCAUUGGGAGGGGGACAACAGUUGGAAACGGCUGCUAAUACCCCGUAUGCCGGAAGGUGAAAGGGAGCGAUCCGCCCGAUGAGGUGCUCAUGUCCUAUCAGCUGGUUGGUGGGGUAACGGCCUACCAAGGCGACGACGGGUAGCCGGCCUGAGAGGGUGAACGGCCACACUGGAACUGAGAUACGGUCCAGACUCCUACGGGAGGCAGCAGUGGGGAAUAUUUGGGCAAUGGGGGCAACCCUGACCCAGCGACGCCGCGUGGGGGAAGACGGCCUUCGGGUUGUAAACCUCUUUUGUACGGGAAGAAGGAAGUGACGGUACUGUACGAAUAAGUCCCGGCUAACUACGUGCCAGCAGCCGC